UGCACAGGGUGGGAUUUGAACCCACGCGGACAAACCGUCCAUUAGAACUUGAGUCUAACCCCUUAGACCACUCGGGCACCUGUGC
Molecule: transfer RNA, 85 nt
Filed under: Bryopsis hypnoides
Lineage: Eukaryota; Viridiplantae; Chlorophyta; Ulvophyceae; Bryopsidales; Bryopsidaceae
Description: tRNA-Leu
Source: RNAcentral